GAUGAACGCUGGCCACAGGCUUAACACAUGCAAGUCGAGGGGAAACGACGGGGAAGCUUGCUUCCCCGGGCGUCGACCGGCGCACGGGUGAGUAACGCGUAUCCAACCUGCCUCUGACUGAGGGAUAACCCGUCGAAAGUCGGCCUAAUACCUCAUGGCAUCGUCUGCGGGCAUCCAACGACGAUUAAAGAUUUCAUCGGUCAGAGAUGGGGAUGCGUCUGAUUAGCUUGUUGGCGGGGUAACGGCCCACCAAGGCGACGAUCAGUAGGGGUUCUGAGAGGAAGGUCCCCCACAUUGGAACUGAGACACGGUCCAAACUCCUACGGGAGGCAGCAGUGAGGAAUAUUGGUCACUGGGCGAGAGCCUGAACCAGCCAAGUAGCGUGCAGGAUGACGGCCCUAUGGGUUGUAAACUGCUUUUAUGCGGGGAUAAAGUGAGGGACGUGUCCUUCAUUGCAGGUACCGCAUGAAUAAGGACCGGCUAAUUCCGUG
Molecule: ribosomal RNA, 491 nt
Filed under: uncultured bacterium
Lineage: Bacteria
Description: partial 16S ribosomal RNA
Rfam family: Bacterial small subunit ribosomal RNA
Source: RNAcentral